AUGCUUGUUAAUUUCUUAUAAUUAGGAUAAAUAAAUACUGCAUCCACUAAGAUUUCACACACAGAAUAUAACACACUGAUCAGAUAAAACUAAUGGCACCCCAGGUGGUUCCCUUUAUCUAUGCAUGAUCAAUCUUCUCAUUGAGCAUUCUGGGAUAGACCAGAUUGUUCCAUGUGAUUAUUCAGGGGGAAUCUGGGUUUUUAUACAAUCCAAAACAGUCUAAAAUGACACUGCAACUGUGAUUCUCUUUCAAGAACUUAUUAUAAUUUUCAAGUUUUACUUUUAUUUAUCAUUUGAUAUAUUUGUACCUUCAAUAAAUGUAAAAAAAAAAUGAUGAUGGAUUUGAUAUUUUGGGAUCACCCCUGUUUCACAUUAUGAUUGCCCCUUCAGUUAUACUGUUGAAAAAUUUGAAUCUCAGACAUUAAUGGGUCAAGUGGUUAUAGUUGGAAAUAGUGCAAACCUGGAUUUAUUUUAAGCAAUUUUGGAGAUAUCUUGUUUUAUUAAUGUUAGGGAGCAUAUUUUGGAAUUUUCAAAGAAAACAUUUAUCUAAGUGUGACAAGAUUCAGGAAAUGUUUGGUUGUUGUAAUUGAACCUAAAGAUCAAUGACCUGGGACAGGAAGAUAAACAAAAGAAACAAGAUAGUUAAAAUGUUCAGAGUCAGCUUGUAAGCAAGUUUGCAGGACUGUUCCAAACUAUCCAGCUUUGCUGUGUUUUAUCAUAGUAUAAAGCAGAGGAAUAUACUGGAAUGUAGUUGGCAUUGGCACCUUCAAAGUCAGUAGUCACCAGGAAAGGCUUCAAGGAAUAUACUACAGAAUUGUAUCCUGGAGCAUUUUCCACAUGUGACCCCUGUGAUGGUGAGGGAAAAACUAAGGGACACUUUAAAAUCAUGGAGAGUGAACAGGAAUUCAAAAGAUAGAUAUUUGAAUACAUUAAAAUAUACCAAAAAAUACCAAAAAAUUAUAACUGAACAUUGAUUGUAAUAUUUACCAUUAAAGACUAUAACUAACUUAACUUUUCAUUUGUAGUGCAUUACUAUUUACUUCACACUGACAUUAAAUGUUUCAGUGAGUCAUGUGAUCAUUUUUUGCUCUGUAUUAUUAUAAAGAAGUUUCUUAAUUCCUUAAAAGGACAAUAUAAUUGCUCUUUUCAGAAUAUUUCAUUGGAUGUUAUAUUUUCUUAUUUUCCAUGGAUAUUCUAGAAAUUUCCAAGGUUUUUGCUCAAAUAAACCUUGGAAAAUUCUCUGAUGCCCUUAAGUAAGAAUCCUCGAAAAUAUAACAGUAUUCCCAGUUGUGAGAAACUUUCCGAGGUUUUCAUUUAAAAACCUUGGAAAACAAACCACGGAAACACUUUAAAAAUCCUUGGAAAUCGUUCCAAUACUCCGAGGUCACUCAUUUUCCAAGGUUUUCUAAGAAAAAUCCUCGGAAAUUAUUUUACGAGGUUUUUAUUCUGAAAUCCUUGGAAAUUGUUCCAAUACUCCGAGGUCAUACUUUUUACGAGGUUUUUUUUUAAUAAAAACUCGGAAAUUUUUUACAAGGUUUUUCACCCUCUCCCUAUUUUUCCAAGGUUUUUUUAAUAGCAAAGUUUUGCAUUUUCUUGUUCCAAUACUCCGAGGUUUUUUUCCAAGGAUUUUGAGCCAAAAACCUUGGAAAAUCUACA
Ruditapes philippinarum (Manila clam) is the source of this 1656-nucleotide long non-coding RNA. RefSeq lists it as uncharacterized. The record is from RefSeq and is a predicted model, not a curated record. The transcript is spliced from 3 exons. Lineage: Eukaryota; Metazoa; Mollusca; Bivalvia; Venerida; Veneridae.